Molecule: non-coding RNA, 1471 nt
Filed under: Guillardia theta
Lineage: Eukaryota; Cryptophyceae; Pyrenomonadales; Geminigeraceae
Description: partial Bacterial small subunit ribosomal RNA
Rfam family: Bacterial small subunit ribosomal RNA
Source: RNAcentral
CUUAAGAGUUUGAUCCUGGCUCCGAGUUAACGCUAUCUAUUUGCUUAACACAUGCAAGUCAAACAUUUUGGUGGCGAACGGGUGAAUAACAUAUAAGAAUCUACCUUUCUUUUAACUUUUCUGUUUUAAUAAGUUAGAUAUAAUUCGAAGAAAGAUGAGCUUAUAAAGGAUUAGGUUGUUGGUUAGGUAACUGCUGACCAAGCCGAUGAUCCUUAGCUGGUUUUAAAGGAUGUCCAGCCACAUUAAAACUGAGACAAGGUUUAAACUCUUUUUAGAGGCAGCAGUGAGGAAUCUUGAACAAUAAGCGCAAGCUUGAUUCAGCAAUUUAGAAUAAAUGAUGAAGGCUCUUUAGUCGUAAAAUUUCUUUGUUAUUUUUAGAUUAUGACUGUGAUAACAAAAAAGCCCUGGCAAAUUUCGUGCCAGCAGCCGCGGUGAUACGGGAAGGGCAAGUGUUAUUCGAAAUUACUAGGCGUAAAGGGUACGUAGGCUGUAUUCAUUGUUAUAAAAUUAAACACAACAUCAAAUAUUGUGACUUUUUCUAACAAAAUACUUUGAGUUUAUAGAAGGACUUUAGAAUUUUAAAGGUAGAAAUAAAAUUCGUAGAUCUUUAAAGGAAUUUCAAUUGUGAAAACAAAAGUCUUGCUUUUUUACUGACGCUAAUGUACGAAAGCUUAGGUAGCAACCAGGAUUAGAUACCCUGUUAGUCUAAGCUGUAAACGAUGAAUACUCAUUUUUGGAUUUUUUUAUUCAGAAAUUUAGCUAACGCGUUAAGUAUUCCGCCUGAGAAGUACGUUGGCAACGAUGAAACUCAAAGGAAUUGACGGGGAUUUAUACCAUUUGCGGAAUAUGUGGUUUAAUUCGUAAAUACACGCAAAAACUUACCAAAUCUUGUAUGAUAUAUUUUCUAUAUUGUUUAUAUUUUUUCUAUCACAGGUGCUGCAUGGCUGUCGUCAGCUCGUGUUGUGAGAUGUUAGGUUCAGUCCAAUUACGAGCGCAACCCUUGUUUUUUGUUGCCAUUAUUAUUAUUAGUCUUUUUUUAAAAGACUUUUUUUUAGGAACUCAAAAAAAAUUGCUUAUGACAUAUAAGAUGAAAGAAAGGAUGACGUCAAGUCCUCAUGGCCCUUAUGAUUUGGGCUACUCAUGUAUUACAAUGAUAAUAACAAAAAGUUGCAUAAAUGAAAAUUUUAGCUAAUCUUUGAAAAAUUAUCGUAGUUCGAAUUAUUUUCUGUAAGACGAAAAUAUGAAGUUGAAGUAAAUAGUAAUCGUUUAUCAGAAAGAAACGGUGAAUUUGUACUUAAAUCUUGUACAUACCGCCCGUCACAUCAAGGAAUUUUUGUAACUUGAUUUUUAAAGUAUUUGAUUGAUUUAUAAAGUAUGUAUUCUAAUGUAUAGGCUUUCUCUUUUUUUACAUCUUUCAAAAUUUUAUAAAGAUAGUUAACAAAAUUACUUUGAUGAAGUCGGAACAAGGUAA